RNAcentral lists this ribosomal RNA (501 nucleotides) under uncultured bacterium. RNAcentral's name for it is "partial 16S ribosomal RNA". It matches the Rfam family "Bacterial small subunit ribosomal RNA", at positions 29 to 523 of the family's 1533-position model. The record is from RNAcentral.
AUUGAACGCUGGCGGCAUGCCUUACACAUGCAAGUCGAACGGCAGCACGGGUGCUUGCACCUGGUGGCGAGUGGCGAACGGGUGAGUAAUACAUCGGAACGUACCUUAUCGUGGGGGAUAACGCAGCGAAAGCUGUGCUAAUACCGCAUACGCCCUGAGGGGGAAAGCGGGGGAUCGCAAGACCUCGCGCGAUUAGAGCGGGCGAUGCCUGAUUAGCUUGUUGGUGGGGUAAGAGCCCACCAAGGCGACGAUCAGUAGCUGGUCUGAGAGGACGAUCAGCCACACUGGGACUGAGACACGGCCCAGACUCCUACGGGAGGCAGCAGUGGGGAAUUUUGGACAAUGGGGGCAACCCUGAUCCAGCAAUGCCGCGUGAGUGAAGAAGGCCUUCGGGUUGUAAAGCUCUUUUGUCAGGGAAGAAACACCGGCUCUAACACAGUCCGGGAAUGACGGUACCUGAAGAAUAAGCACCGGCUAACUACGUGCCAGCAGCCGCCGUAA